RNAcentral lists this ribosomal RNA (255 nucleotides) under uncultured bacterium. Its description in RNAcentral is "partial 16S ribosomal RNA". It matches the Rfam family "Bacterial small subunit ribosomal RNA", at positions 524 to 776 of the family's 1533-position model. The record is from RNAcentral.
UACGUAGGGUGCGAGCGUUAAUCGGAAUUACUGGGCGUAAAGUGUGCGCAGGCGGCCGCGCAAGUCGAGUGUGAAAGCCCCGGGCUUAACUUGGGGAAUUGCGCUCGAAACUACGUGGCUGGAGUGUGGCAGAGGAAGGUGGAAUUCCACGUGUAGCGGUGAAAUGCGUAGAGAUGUGGAGGAACACCAAUGGCGAAGGCAGCCUUCUGGGCCAACACUGACGCUCGAUGCACGAAAGCGUGGGGAGCAAACAGG